GCCUCCUUGGCUCAGUUGGCUAGAGCGCAGGUCUCAUAUGUUGAGUAUGACCGUGUUUAACAUGGGUAAUCCUGAGGGUCGCCAAGUUCGAGCCUUGCAGGGGGCA
Molecule: non-coding RNA, 106 nt
Organism: Coprinopsis sp. MPI-PUGE-AT-0042
Lineage: Eukaryota; Fungi; Basidiomycota; Agaricomycetes; Agaricales; Psathyrellaceae
Source: the annotation of a GenBank genome assembly